Molecule: transfer RNA, 78 nt
Filed under: Bacillus pumilus
Lineage: Bacteria; Bacillati; Bacillota; Bacilli; Caryophanales; Bacillaceae
Description: tRNA-Pro
Rfam family: tRNA
About the family: Transfer RNA (tRNA) molecules are approximately 80 nucleotides in length. Their secondary structure includes four short double-helical elements and three loops (D, anti-codon, and T loops). Further hydrogen bonds mediate the characteristic L-shaped molecular structure. tRNAs have two regions of fundamental functional importance: the anti-codon, which is responsible for specific mRNA codon recognition, and the 3' end, to which the tRNAs corresponding amino acid is attached (by aminoacyl-tRNA synthetases). tRNAs cope with the degeneracy of the genetic code in two manners: having more than one tRNA (with a specific anti-codon) for a particular amino acid; and 'wobble' base-pairing, i.e. permitting non-standard base-pairing at the 3rd anti-codon position.
Source: RNAcentral
CGGGAAGUAAGCUCAGCUUGGUAGAGCACUUGGUUUGGGACCAAGGGGUCGCAGGUUCGAAUCCUGUCUUCCCGACCA